GGGAAUGCAAGCUGGUGCAGCCACUCUGGAAAACAGCAUGGAGGUUCCUCAAAAAGUUGAAAAUAGAACUACCUUAUGACACAGCAAUUGUACUAGUAGGUAUUUUUCCAUAGGAUA
Long non-coding RNA from Mustela erminea (ermine), 117 nucleotides. RefSeq lists it as uncharacterized. The record is from RefSeq and is a predicted model, not a curated record. The transcript has 2 exons. NCBI's taxonomy places the organism in Eukaryota, Metazoa, Chordata, Mammalia, Carnivora, Mustelidae.